RNAcentral lists this ribosomal RNA (253 nucleotides) under uncultured bacterium. RNAcentral's name for it is "partial 16S ribosomal RNA". It matches the Rfam family "Bacterial small subunit ribosomal RNA", at positions 524 to 776 of the family's 1533-position model. The record is from RNAcentral.
UACAGAGGUCUCAAGCGUUGUUCGGAUUCAUUGGGCGUAAAGAGCGUGUAGGCGGCCAGGUAGGUCUGCUGUGAAAACUCGAGGCUUAACCUCGAGCUGUCGGCGGAAACCAUCUGGCUAGAGUCCGGAAGAGGAGGAUGGAAUUCCCGGUGUAGCGGUGAAAUGCGCAGAUAUCGGGAAGAACACCCGUGGCGAAGGCGGUUCUCUGGGACGGUACUGACGCUGAGGUGCGAAAGCGUGGGGAGCAAACAGG